Long non-coding RNA from Mauremys mutica (yellowpond turtle), 225 nucleotides. RefSeq lists it as uncharacterized. The transcript has 3 exons. The record is from RefSeq and is a predicted model, not a curated record. Lineage: Eukaryota; Metazoa; Chordata; Testudines; Geoemydidae.
UUUUAACAGUGAACUCACACUUUCUCCGAAGACACCAGCUCCUGGGCGAUGAGGUUGUUAUCAUAUUACAGAGUGAGCCUCUUUACCAAGGUCGCCUCUGUGUACUGUGAUGGUUCAUGGCCUUCCCUGUCCCACUGCUGCCGUACAUUCCUGGCACCUCAGAGAGGAUUAUGGUAGUUUAUCUCCAACGCUGCCCUCAGGAUCAAAUAAUUUACCAAUCUCCUC